CCCUUAGAUGUUCUGGGCUGCACGCGUGCUACACUGAUAUUGCCAAUACGUCAUUCUUGUCCGAAAUGGAUUGGGUAAUCAAGUAAUGAAAUUUCAUGCUUGGAAUCGGUAAUUGCAAUUUUAUCGUGAACGAGGAAUUCCUAGUAAGCACUAGUCAUCAGCUAAUGUUGAUUAUGUCCCUGCCCUUUGUACACACCGCCCGUCGCUACUACUGAUUGGGUGUUCAAGUGAGAUGCUUAGACCCUUGUUGCAUGGUUCAUUAUUGUGCUCCGAAAGGAAAAAGUUUCAAGCUUGAGUGUCUAGAGGAAGUAAAAGUCGUAACA
RNAcentral lists this ribosomal RNA (323 nucleotides) under uncultured eukaryote. RNAcentral's name for it is "partial 18S ribosomal RNA". It matches the Rfam family "Eukaryotic small subunit ribosomal RNA", at positions 1470 to 1796 of the family's 1831-position model. The record is from RNAcentral.